Long non-coding RNA from Gadus macrocephalus (Pacific cod), 1080 nucleotides. RefSeq lists it as uncharacterized. NCBI's taxonomy places the organism in Eukaryota, Metazoa, Chordata, Actinopteri, Gadiformes, Gadidae. The transcript is spliced from 2 exons. The record is from RefSeq and is a predicted model, not a curated record.
CUCUCAAUACGUCAAGGUGACACUAACGGGGACGUCCAGAAACAUCAGAAGAAUAGUACACCAAUUGUCUGACAUUUAUGAUUGUAUACGUAAAGAUUUUAUCUUUGCUGAAUUUAUACAGUGUAUGUAUAUAUAUAUAUGUAUAUAUCUUUAUAUAUAUAUAUACGUAUUUUCAUGUUGGUCGGGUGGAUUGAGCUGAACAGCCAAUCCCACAGACUGUGAGUGAAACCAGAACGACUUCUGAAGGGUAGAGUCUGCUCGCUGCGUAUUGCUCUCGCCGUGUUUAUUUUCACCGAUAAAGAACAACGUCAUCGUUUCCAUCCCGUUCUGAUCUUUGUCCGGAGUAAUGGCAGCGUUGACGUUGUUGUUCUUAGUGAGAACAAACAGUUCAGGAGCGUUCUACAGCGUGCGGUCUCUGAACACAUCGUAGCUCACUUUUCCGUCAGCCUGCGUUGUGUUUCUACAGCAGCCAGUCAGACACCGUGUGGAUCUGAAACCUUCACAGACACCUUCUCUAAGAGCGUCUGUGUCCAGAGACACCAUGUGAUGGCUUAACAGCUCUCGCUGUUAACAAAUUAUGCGCCAAUAGCUCCCCGCCUCCAGCCCCUUGAUGGUCAAAACAAAUAUGAGGCGAAAGAAAGUGGAAUGCCCCGUUCUCCCCAGAUUGGAGCUAGUCUGAUCAGGCUAGAUAUUUCGAUAUAUUUAUUCAUUUAAACUCUAAUUUGUGAGUAAGUGAUAUCCACGACUUGAUCGGAAGCUAAACGGUAAAUGGUAGUAAACGAUAAACAUUAAAACUUGGACUUCUCCUGUCUCGGCACCCAUGUCUUUUAACACAUAAGUCACUUAGCCCCCAAGUCACUUAGCCCCCAAGUCACUUAGCCCCCAAGUCACUUAGCCCCCAAGUCACUUAGCAGCCAAGUCACUUAGCAGCCAAGUCACUUAGCAGCCAAGUCACUUAGCACCCAAAGUCACUUAGCACCCAAAGUCACUUAGCACCCAAAUCACUUAGCACCCGAGUCACUUAGCCCCCAAGUCACUUAUCCCCCAAGUCACUUAGCACCCAAGUCACUUAGCAGCCAA